UGGGGAGUCGUCCAAUGGCAAGACAGCGGACUCUGGAUCCGCCGAUCGGGGUUCGAAUCCCUGCUCCCCAG
Molecule: transfer RNA, 71 nt
Filed under: candidate division Zixibacteria bacterium 4484_93
Lineage: Bacteria; Pseudomonadati; Candidatus Zixiibacteriota
Also listed under: 1 other name
Description: tRNA-Gln
Rfam family: tRNA
About the family: Transfer RNA (tRNA) molecules are approximately 80 nucleotides in length. Their secondary structure includes four short double-helical elements and three loops (D, anti-codon, and T loops).
Source: RNAcentral